RNAcentral lists this ribosomal RNA (497 nucleotides) under uncultured bacterium. Its description in RNAcentral is "partial 16S ribosomal RNA". It matches the Rfam family "Bacterial small subunit ribosomal RNA", at positions 28 to 507 of the family's 1533-position model. The record is from RNAcentral.
GAUGAACGCUGGCGGCGUGCCUAAUACAUGCAAGUCGAGCGAACAGACGAGGAGCUUGCUCCUUUGACGUUAGCGGCGGACGGGUGAGUAACACGUGGGUAACCUACCUAUAAGACUGGGAUAACUUCGGGAAACCGGAGCUAAUACCGGAUAAUAUUUCGAACCGCAUGGUUCGAUAGUGAAAGAUGGCUUUGCUAUCACUUAUAGAUGGACCUGCGCCGUAUUAGCUAGUUGGUAAGGUAACGGCUUACCAAGGCAACGAUACGUAGCCGACCUGAGAGGGUGAUCGGCCACACUGGAAUGGAGAAACGGCCCAGACUCCUACGGGAGGCAGCAGUAGGGAAUCUUCCGCAAUGGGCGAAAGCCUGACGGAGCAACGCCGCGUGAGUGAUGAAGGUCUUCGGAUCGUAAAACUCUGUUAUUAGGGAAGAACAAACGUGUAAGUAACUGUGCACGUCUUGACGGUACCUAAUCAGAAAGCCACGGCUAACUACGUG